This is a long non-coding RNA of Neogobius melanostomus (round goby), 2592 nucleotides long. The record is from Ensembl. NCBI's taxonomy places the organism in Eukaryota, Metazoa, Chordata, Actinopteri, Gobiiformes, Gobiidae.
AUGACAGCAGGGGGUGCUGAUUACCUGCCCACAGCGUCCUCGGAGCUCACUGCAGCGCUACAAAAGGAGAGGGAGAGAGACUUCAGUGCUGCUAUCGUCAAGUACAGGACAGCGGUGGAUAUCCUCAUCACGGGAGUCCAAGGCGACCCAGACCCCGUACGUCGGGAGGCGGUGAUGAGGAGGACCGCCCUGUAUCUAAAGCACGUGGAAACACUGGUAGACAUGCACUCGGCGCCCAGUGACGCUCAUACUUGACACUACAGAUGGAGUCAACUACCAAUACAAAGAAAACAAGACCCUGCCUCUCUCUCUUCACUUUUGAGGAUCAACAACCUGAAAAAGUCCAAACACAAGCAGUUUCCAUGCACAGAGCAGCCUGACUCGGCUUGUUGUUCGAAUAUCAUCUGAUUAUUUGGCGUAGACAAAGAGAUGUUUACGCCAAUCAGACUCCGUCAACAUACAGCACAAACCCUUUGAAAUUCUAAUCCUAAUACAUUUAAUACAUUAUAAUAAACACAAAGAGGAUCAUAAUGAUGGAACAAGCCAGGCAGAGGUGGAGGCACCAUUCCUUUGUAGGAAGGAACGUAACGUACAACACAAAGUACAGAAGUAAAAGUACAGUGAUGAAGUACUAAUUUUUUCUGUCUAACCACAUUAAACUUUAAUCAGACAUUUAACCAAACACUUUUCUACUCUUACAUUAGUUUCUCAUUCUUCUAUUAUAGCACUAAUUUUGUUAUUGUCAUUUAAGUCUUACUUGAUUUUGAUAACAAAUGUUUGCUCCCACAUUCGCCUCUAAGUCUUAGUACAAUGUGCGGUAACACUUUAUUUACACUACCCUUGAUACAUUGUACCUGCCACAUUAAGUACAAUGUAAUGUGCUGUGUAACACUGCGUAAUAACUUGUACCUACAGGUUACAUACACAAUGGAAUAAUGUGUACUAGUAUUUUGGUACAUAAUGUAAUAAGACAUAAGACCCAAACUCUUACCCUAACCUUAAGCCCUAACCCUAAGGGUUAUUACAUUAUGCACCUACAUUGUUACAUAGCACAUUACAUUGUACUAAAUUUAGUUGAGUACAAUGUAUCAAGGUAGUAAAAUAAAGUUUUACCCAAUGUGCCAAUAAGUCUGCUCAGAAAGAUGGAGGUUGGGCUUGGACUAAUAAGUCAGUUGUAUGUUUCAGAUUUUUGCUCCAUAAGGCAGGGGUUUUCAAAGUGGGGGUCAGGACCUCUCAGGCGGUUGCUAGAUGAUUUUGAGAUGUGAUUUAUUUUACAUUUCAUUUCAUUACAUUGAAUUUGAUGUAUUUUUGAUUGAAAACAUAAUAUUUUACUGAAAUUAAGCCACAUGCACUAUCCAAAGUAACGUCACUAAACCAGAUUUUAAAUAUUGUGCACCAGAAUUUAUUAUAAAUACUAAUUACGUAAAAUUGUGGGAACCCAUGCCAUAAGUUUGAUUUGAUUUGAUUUGAUUUGGAUUUAUUUGAGCAAUUAUUUACAUUAUUAUAUUUACACUGUCACAUGAAACCAAAAAAAUAACUCAAAAGGAGUAGGCCGAAGCAAGAAAGCUUAUAAGUGCCUACCCCAUAUUCAAGAUACUUCCAUGCAUUUCAAGAUUAUUUCUAAGAGAAUACAAACAUAGUCUACUAAAAUGUACAUUAUUGAAGCGCAUGUGUCCAGCUGCAGGCAAAAUUUCACAUUACAAUACCUGAGUUACCCAGGCACAGACACAGCCGGGGCGUGCGUGUGCCUGUUUAAAUAAAAGUAAUUUGCAAAUAACAAGUUCAUAUGCAUGUUUCUCAUUGCUAUCAUACCCGCUUUUUUUGAUUGUUUUCCCUAUUUUGUGAGGUGCGUUAAAAAGCCAGGGUGUUAUGUGGCAAGCUGGUAGAGGGCGGUAGCCCCCCCACAAGCGAGCCCCCACCCUGCUGCCCUAACUAGUUGAUGUUGUGAACAGCUUUGUAAACCUAUGCUGAUUGGUGCUUUAAAAAGACCAGAUUUAUGAGCCUGUUGAGAGGGGGCCCUACAACAGGUCCACAUCUCGCCUGCCCCAAUUCUAUUUUAUUUUGUAAUGACCAGUGGAAGCAGCCAUAACAGCAUUUUUGGUUAUCUUUCGCUUGUAAUUUAUCUCAAGUUCCUUUAAUUCAGAUCAAAUAGACUUGGUAGAUAGAGUUGGUGACCAUUGAUUAUAUCAGCAAUGAUGUGGUAUUUCACAAGUUCACAGUAAUACAGAUUACUUAAAGAGAGUGACUGAGAGACAAGGUCACAUGUCUUUAGCAUACUUCUCAAACACACUUCUCUUAUACUGUCUUGAAUUGCUGUAGACAAGCUGCACCUUUUAAGUCUUCAUCUAAAUUAAUCCACAGAUUUACUUCUCUCCGUGUAAUACAGUGACUUUUUAGGGUGGAAUGAAUACAUUGUACUUUCAGAUUAUGAGUUCCCCUUAGAUUGUAUCUUCCCUUUGUGAUGGUUUUUAUGUUGAUGCACUUUUCUUUUACUUGGUUGAAAGGCGUUUGAUGAUGUUAUGAUCGCAGAUAAAGGACAGGGCCGCUGUUCUUGAAAGGAUUAUAACCUUAUUUCCUUAAAGGAACAGGCCA